RNAcentral lists this long non-coding RNA (697 nucleotides) under Setaria viridis. Its description in RNAcentral is "long non-coding RNA (SVIR_LNC004311)". Lineage: Eukaryota; Viridiplantae; Streptophyta; Magnoliopsida; Poales; Poaceae. The record is from RNAcentral.
CGCGCGCCCCACCUCCCGCACCGCACCCCACGCGCCACCCCUUUCCCCUUCCCCUUCCGGCCGGCCUCCUCCUUCCCUCGGCCAACGGCGCCCCUUCCCCUACCUCUUCGGCGUGCGGCGCCCCCUCCCGGCCCCUCCCUCUCCUCCCGGCGGGCCGCGUCUCUCUCCUCCAGCCCUCCCUCUCCCGGCCGGGUGGCGCCCCUUCCCCUCCCUCUCCGGCGGACGGCGCCCCCUCCCGGCCCCUCACCAUCGGUCGGGGCGGUCACCUCCCUCCCUCCCUCCGCCACCGGGCAGAUCUGGGCAGCCGGGCCGGCCUCCUUCCUCCCUCCCUCCGCCGCCGGUCAGAUCCGGGCGGCUCGAGGGGAGGGGGCCCUGGAGGAGGUCAAAUCCGGGCGGCGGCCGCGGAUCAAGGGGAGGGAUCUUGGCGGCGGCGCACCCCUGCCCCUCCCCCUCUCCGGCAGAGCCGGCGACGCCGGCCCUCCCCUCACCAGAUCUGGCGGCACUGGCCCUCCCCUCGCCGGAUCCGAUGGCGCCGGGGGCCUCUCUAGAUCCGCGGCGGCGUGGGGCUGUGGGGGUGCGGAGCAGGCGGUGGUGGCAGCAUGGGAGGUGGUGCUAUGGUGGUAGUGCUGGUGGUGGUGGCGGCCGGUGGUGGUGGUGCUGGCGGAGCUGGGAGGUGGUGGCGGCAUGGGAGGUGGUG